AGAAAAGAAGAAUAAAAAUGGUAAAUUCAAAACAAUAUUUGAAAUUAAUAGAAUUAGUUUACAAACAAUUCAAUGAACAAAAAGAACCAAGUAAACAUAUUUCAUGAUACAUAGCAAGUACUUUCAUGACAUACUAUUGCAAUUCAUCCUCUGAUUUCUGCCCUUGUUUGACCAUCCAUGCUUUCAUCGUCUCCACGAGCAGCUUGCGCACAAACUAUUAAACAUUCUUUUUGGCAUUCAGUAAGUGAAAAUAUUCAUGUGUACGCAUACAGUGUAGCAUGAGGACAAACAGUGAGGAUCUGCAAUACCAUCUUUGCCAUUUUGAUCAGCUUGAGCCAAGGCCAUAAGUACGAAGAACAUCACCGCCAUAAUCCUAACCUUGUUGCUGGCGGCCAUGGUAUAAUUAAUUAUAGAUUAAGAAAAAUCACAACGAUCUAUGGAUCGAAUGAUCGAUUAAUUAAUUAGAAUGUGUAGAUUAAGGGUGAAGAAUUAAUUAAGAGGCAAUAUAUAGAGUUUUCAUUCACCUUUUUUCGGAGGA
This 538-nucleotide long non-coding RNA is filed under the name Panax ginseng (ginseng). RNAcentral describes it as "long non-coding RNA (PGIN_LNC004629)". The record is from RNAcentral. Lineage: Eukaryota; Viridiplantae; Streptophyta; Magnoliopsida; Apiales; Araliaceae.